GUCCUUGCCGUAAACAAUGUAUACUUGGUGUAACUGGACUCAACCCUAGUUGUGCCGAAGCUAACGCGUUAAGUAUACCGCCUGGGGAGUACGCUCGCAAGGGUGAAACUCAAAAGAAUUGACGGGGACCCGCACAAGCAGUGGAGCAUGUGGUUUAAUUCGAUGCAACGCGAAGAACCUUACCCAGUCUUGACAUGCAGUGGACGUUGGCAGAAAUGUCAAUUCCUUUCGGGGCCGCUGCACAGGUGCUGCAUGGCUGUCGU
RNAcentral lists this ribosomal RNA (263 nucleotides) under uncultured bacterium. RNAcentral describes it as "partial 16S ribosomal RNA". It matches the Rfam family "Bacterial small subunit ribosomal RNA", at positions 793 to 1055 of the family's 1533-position model. The record is from RNAcentral.